Molecule: small nuclear RNA, 62 nt
Filed under: Microcebus murinus (gray mouse lemur)
Lineage: Eukaryota; Metazoa; Chordata; Mammalia; Primates; Cheirogaleidae
Description: U7 small nuclear RNA (ENSMICG00000042260.1)
Rfam family: U7 small nuclear RNA
About the family: Animal histone pre-mRNAs are spliced by a different mechanism than nuclear pre-mRNAs and self-splicing introns. This processing involves the U7 snRNP, which contains only one RNA species: U7.
Source: Rfam by way of RNAcentral
AAGUAUUACAGCUCUUUUAGAAUUUGUCUAGCAUGUUUUCUGAUUUUUACUGGGAAACCCCC